Molecule: ribosomal RNA, 505 nt
Filed under: uncultured bacterium
Lineage: Bacteria
Description: partial 16S ribosomal RNA
Rfam family: Bacterial small subunit ribosomal RNA
Source: RNAcentral
GACGAACGCUGGCGGCGUGCCUAAUACAUGCAAGUAGAACGCACAGUUUAUACCGUAGCUUGCUACACCAUAGACUGUGAGUUGCGAACGAGUGAGUAACACGUAGGUAACCUGCCUGGGAGAGGUUGGUAACUCUGGGAAACAAUAGCUAAUACCGCAUAAUAUUAAUUAUUGCAUAAUAAUUGAUUGAAAGAUGCAAUCGCAUAGCUACCUGAUGGACCUGCGUUGUAUUUGCUAGUAGGUGAGGUAACGGGCCACCUAGGCGACGAUACAUCGCCGACCUGAGAGGGGGAUCGGCCCACACGGGAACGAGACACGGCCCAGACUCCCACGGGAGGGAGCAGUAGGGAAUCCUCGGCAAUGGACGAAAGUCUGACCGGGCAACGCCGCGUGAGUGAAGAAGGGUCUUGGAUUCGAAAGCUCUGUUGUAAGGGAAGAACGGGUUGGGUAGGGGAAAGUGCACACUGUGACGGUACCUUAUCAGAAAGCGACGGCUAACUACGUG